AGCAGCCGCGGUAAUUCCAGCUCCAAUAGCGUAUAUUAAAGUUGUUGCAGUUAAAAAGCUCGUAGUUGAAUUUCGGGGUCAGUAGAUUGGUCAUGCCACUGGUAUGUACUGGCCUCACUGAUUCCUCCUUCCUGAUGAGCCGUAAUGCCAUUAAUUUGGUGUUGCGAGGAAUCUGGACUGUUACUUUGAAAAAUUAGAGUGUUUAAAGCAGGCUAACGCUUGAAUACAUUAGCAUGGAAUAAUGAAAUAGGACGUUCGAUCUUAUUUUGUUGGUUUCUAAGAUUGACGUAAUGAUUAAUAGGGAUAGUUGGAGGCAUUAGUAUUCAAUUGUCAGAGGUGAAAUUCUUGGAUUUAUUGAAGACUAACUACUGCGAAAGCAUUUGCCAAGGAUGUUUUCAUUAAUCAAGAACGAAAGUUAGGGGAUCGAAGACGAUCAGAUACCGUCGUAGUCUUAACCAUAAACUAUGCCGACUAGGGAUCGGAUGAUGUUAAUUUUUUAAAUGUAA
This 506-nucleotide ribosomal RNA is filed under the name uncultured Glomus. RNAcentral's name for it is "SSU rRNA". It matches the Rfam family "Eukaryotic small subunit ribosomal RNA", at positions 569 to 1079 of the family's 1831-position model. The record is from RNAcentral. Lineage: Eukaryota; Fungi; Glomeromycota; Glomeromycetes; Glomerales; Glomeraceae.